RNAcentral lists this ribosomal RNA (484 nucleotides) under uncultured bacterium. Its description in RNAcentral is "partial 16S ribosomal RNA". It matches the Rfam family "Bacterial small subunit ribosomal RNA", at positions 31 to 507 of the family's 1533-position model. The record is from RNAcentral.
AUAGAACGCUGGCGGCAUGCUUUACACAUGCAAGUCGAACGGCAGCGCGGGCUUCGGCCUGGCGGCGAGUGGCGAACGGGUGAGUAAUGCAUCGGAACGUGCCCAGUAGUGGGGGAUAGCCCGGCGAAAGCCGGAUUAAUACCGCAUACGACCUGAGGGUGAAAGCGGGGGACCGAAAGGCCUCGCGCUAUUGGAGCGGCCGAUGUCGGAUUAGCUAGUUGGUGGGGUAAAGGCUUACCAAGGCGACGAUCCGUAGCUGGUCUGAGAGGACGACCAGCCACACUGGGACUGAGACACGGCCCAGACUCCUACGGGAGGCAGCAGUGGGGAAUUUUGGACAAUGGGGGCAACCCUGAUCCAGCCAUGCCGCGUGCGGGAAGAAGGCCUUCGGGUUGUAAACCGCUUUUGUUCGGGAAGAAAUCCUCUGGGCUAAUACCCCGGGGGGAUGACGGUACCGGAAGAAUAAGCACCGGCUAACUACGUG